GGAAGAGGAGGACAGUCGAAAAAUAAUCAUGGCGUCUUUGUAUUCUAAUGUUUUGGUCCUUUUCGCGUUGACGUGGUGCUGCACGGCAAUCAGUGUGCCCUAUUAUUGCAACAGGUGUAAGAUAUAUCUACAAGACCCUUACUGUCGGUAUUGCUGUUCAGUAUACAGAUGUUGUGGGAAAAGUAAUCCAAUGGAACAGUGUUCAUUGAUUCCAUGUGGUCCAGGCUGUGGCCCUGCUACAACUACAACCACUACUACGGCAACGGUAGCCACUACCACAUCCUCGACAAAAGCCACAACCACAACGGUGCCAACUACAACUCCAUC
Molecule: long non-coding RNA, 327 nt
Organism: Gigantopelta aegis
Lineage: Eukaryota; Metazoa; Mollusca; Gastropoda; Neomphalida; Peltospiridae
Exons: 3
Source: RefSeq, a predicted model, not a curated record